UGACACGUGUCCUCCUCAAGCUCUCCUAUCUCUUUUAAAAAUUUGCAUGCACCCGGUCUACACAAAUAUAACAUACACCAAAUCUAUUUUUUUAAUUUAAAAUUAAAAUAUAAUUUAAUGGAUAUAUUUACACUAUAUAAUAAAUUUUUGUACAAAAUAUUAUAGGGUUUAAGUUCCAACAAUAUGGACUUAUCAAUAUAGUGUUUAACAUAUAAAUAUACACUUGGUGCAUGAAAUAAUUUCUUCCCAACCCACUUCUCAUUUAUUAAAAACUUUGCCUACGCCCGGUCUAUAAAUAUUACAUACACUAACCUUAAUUUUUAAUGAUUAAUAUUAUUAAAUUAAAAUAUAAUUUUAUAAAUGCGAUCUAUACUAUAUAAAAUGCCCCUAUAUAAAAAAUUAUCAGAGUUAGAUUUUUAUAUCAAAUAUUUAAAAAUAAAGUGUGUAAAAUUUACUUAUACACCUGGUGCACCAAAUAGUAUCAUUUGUUUUAAUGUAGAUAAAGAUAUAUAGAUAGCCCCUCAACUAUAAUUUUUUUGAAUUGAGUAUAUAAUACGAAAUUUUAAAUUUUUAUACUUUCAAAUUUUAAAGUUAUAAAUAUCAAAUUUUAUAUUUUAUAUUUUAAAUUCUAAAUUUCAAUUUUAACUCAUAAUAUUUAUUUCUAAAUUAUAAACUUCAAAUUUUAAAAUUUUAAAAUUUUAAAUCUCUAAACUCUAUAAAAUUAAUUAAUUAAUUUACUAUAUUUAAGGAGGGUUUUGGGGAACCAAAGGGUGACACGUGUCCCCCCAAACCCUCCUUUACUCGCUCUUUCCCUCUAUAUAUAUAAUAAAAAUAUAUAUAAUACGAAAUUUUAAAUUUUGAUACUUUCAAAUUUUAAAGUUAUAAAUUUCAAAUUUUAUAUUUUAUAUUUUUAAUUCUAAAUUUUAAUUUUAACUCAUAAUAUUUAUUUCCAAAUUUUAAACUUCAAAUUUUAAAAUUUUAAAAUUUUAAAUCUCUAAACUCUAUGAAAUUAAUUACUUAAUUUUAUUCAUAAUUAAUUAAAUAUAUUAUAUUUAAUUAAUUUUAUUAAUAAUAUGCGUAAUAAAUUGCAUAAUAAAAUUAAACCUGAUAGAUGCAAUUUAAAUCACGUAAAAUAUCGUUAUAUAAAAAAUACAAAAUUUAAAUUUCAGGACUAAAAUUUUAGAAAUAUAGUGUAUAUGUGUAUAUAUAUAAUGAAGUUUAUUAAACAAGUUCU
Molecule: long non-coding RNA, 1234 nt
Filed under: Ananas comosus (pineapple)
Lineage: Eukaryota; Viridiplantae; Streptophyta; Magnoliopsida; Poales; Bromeliaceae
Description: long non-coding RNA (ACOM_LNC028764)
Source: RNAcentral